ACAGAGGUCUCAAGCGUUGUUCGGAUUCAUUGGGCGUAAAGGGUGCGUAGGCGGCGCCGUAAGUCUGGUGUGAAAUCCCGGAGCUUAACUCCGGAACUGCACUGGAUACUGCGGUGCUCGAGGACUGGAGAGGAGAUUGGAAUUCACGGUGUAGCAGUGAAAUGCGUAGAUAUCGUGAGGAAGACCAGUGGCGAAGGCGGAUCUCUGGACAGUUCCUGACGCUGAGGCACGAAGGCCAGGGGAGCAAACGGGA
Molecule: ribosomal RNA, 253 nt
Filed under: uncultured prokaryote
Description: partial 16S ribosomal RNA
Rfam family: Bacterial small subunit ribosomal RNA
Source: RNAcentral